RNAcentral lists this ribosomal RNA (429 nucleotides) under uncultured bacterium. RNAcentral's name for it is "bacterial SSU rRNA". It matches the Rfam family "Bacterial small subunit ribosomal RNA", at positions 354 to 776 of the family's 1533-position model. The record is from RNAcentral.
GUGGGGAAUUGUUCGCAAUGGGCGCAAGCCUGACGACGCAACGCCGCGUGGAGGAUGAAGGUCUUCGGAUUGUAAACUCCUGUUGCCCGGGACGAAAAGCUUCGACCUAACACGUCGAGGUCUGACGGUACCGGGUGAGGAAGCCCCGGCUAACUCUGUGCCAGCAGCCGCGGUAAUACAGAGGGGGCGAGCGUUGUUCGGAAUUACUGGGCGUAAAGGGCGCGUAGGCGGCCUGUUAAGUCGGACGUGAAAUCCCCGGGCUCAACCCGGGAACUGCGUCCGAUACUGGCAGGCUUGAAUCCGGGAGAGGGAUGUGGAAUUCCAGGUGUAGCGGUGAAAUGCGUAGAUAUCUGGAGGAACACCGGUGGCGAAGGCGGCAUCCUGGACCGGCAUUGACGCUGAGGCGCGAAAGCCAGGGGAGCAAACGGG